GCCUAUGUGUCUGCUUUCCUUUGUUGCCAAUGGGCUCAUGGCAGCGGUAAUGGAAUUAUGCCGAAUAUCUUGGUAAACCCCCUUCUCGUGUGGAGAAACAUAUACCGUGGACACCACGUUUGGGAGCAACCGUGGUACUCAACCCAUCUUGGGUGGAUUUGGUCGAAGGCCGCUCGGCCAUCUCAGCCGAGGUCAGUAAAAAAAAAAGGGUCCAUCUUCCUGGCGGAGUGGUGAGUAUAGAUAGGCAACUGAGCUACUCCAAUCACUUUUAUAGAGGGCUUUGCCAGCCGUCCUAGCUCCGUCCUUCAGGAUGAGAUGCGGAGAUGAGCCGGCAAUGCCCCUGACGAACAACGCGGAGAAGAUGCUUGUUGAUAGGGGUUUCGGUUGGCUCAAGCCACGGCAACGGCAUCAGAGUAUUCAGCAACUAGUGCCCGCCGAGUUGGUCGGCUUCCCCAAGAGUCAAUCCUGAGCUAAUAAAAAUGA
This 483-nucleotide small RNA is filed under the name Histoplasma capsulatum. Its description in RNAcentral is "hypothetical RNA". Lineage: Eukaryota; Fungi; Ascomycota; Eurotiomycetes; Onygenales; Ajellomycetaceae. The record is from RNAcentral. RNAcentral also lists the same sequence under 1 other name.